ACAGUUUGUCCUCUUUGGCAGGAGAAAGAUCUUGAAAGUAAGAAUUCUGAAAGACCUGGAGGAUCUAGGCAUAAAUAGAUUGGUUGAUGCCCUGGAUGCAUAGGGGUGGAAGGGCUUGGUUCUUUAACUAGAUGGCAGGCUGGCAAGAAAAGAGCUGAUCGAGUUUAUGGCAAAUGCCACAGUAGUGAAUGGGGUUGUUACCA
This 203-nucleotide long non-coding RNA is filed under the name Nicotiana benthamiana. RNAcentral describes it as "long non-coding RNA (NBEN_LNC028442)". The record is from RNAcentral. Lineage: Eukaryota; Viridiplantae; Streptophyta; Magnoliopsida; Solanales; Solanaceae.